GCAGUUUAAUAAGGUAGGCCUUCUAAUAACGUUAGCCUUCUAAUGAGCUUGACCUCUUAAUGAGGUAAGUCUUAUGAUGAGGUCGGCCUUCCAAUGAGAUCUACCUUCUAAUGAGCUCAGCUAUCGAUCUUUCGAUGAGGUCAGCCUUUCGAUGAGGUCAGACUUUUAAUAAGCUCGAUUGUCGACCUUCUGAAGAGGUCGGCCUUCUGAA
RNAcentral lists this long non-coding RNA (211 nucleotides) under Elaeis guineensis (African oil palm). RNAcentral describes it as "long non-coding RNA (EGUI_LNC014945)". The record is from RNAcentral. Lineage: Eukaryota; Viridiplantae; Streptophyta; Magnoliopsida; Arecales; Arecaceae.